This 4197-nucleotide long non-coding RNA is filed under the name Mytilus galloprovincialis (Mediterranean mussel). The record is from RNAcentral. Lineage: Eukaryota; Metazoa; Mollusca; Bivalvia; Mytilida; Mytilidae.
AAUCAAGCCGAUAUUUCUCCACAAAGAAAACACUGUUUUGUAAUGGUAAAAAAAGUCGAAACUCAUACAAUCAUUGUUUAUAUUGCAUAUAACAUGAGCACAUAUACAAAUGAUAUAUCCUGUACAAGGACAAACGUAUCGAUGUAGUACAUGAGACAUAAAUACACAUAUAUUGAAGACAUAUUGCGGUGGUCUGCUGUUAUCUGGUCUUUGGUCAGGUUGUUGUCUCUUUGACAUAUUCCCCAUUUCCGUUUUCAAUUUUAUUCUUAUUUACAAUUAAAAAGACGAAAAACAUUGUAUCAUAAAAAGCAUGGUCGAAACAUAAAGAAAAUAAGAGAUAACAAUUGUUUUGAAAAAAAAAAACAUGUUCAUGCAUGUUCUUUUGCAUUUGCAUUUCUUGAUAGCAAAAUAAAAUCUUGCUUGUAUUGCAACAGCAUGCAAUAAAAUUUCUUCUUUUUCCAAUGUGCAUUUUCACUUUGCAUGUCAAAAGUUCUAUAUCUGCCAUAUCAUAACAAAAGUUUAAUAUGCCAAAUUCACAUGAUAGUUUAUACAAAUUUGCAUCUUCACAAUGAUAUCAUUAAUCAUACAUAGUAAAAGGGAAUGAUCCCCCGUUUCCCUUUCAACAACUGGUAUUCUUAAAGUAACAAAGUUACCUAGCUGUUUCCAUCUUUGCAUUAUUUUUCGACACUUUUUAAUGAUAUAAUUCAAUUUCAGGUACUGACAUGAUAAAUACAGGAGAUUAACAAAUUAAAUUAACGUGACUUUUUUAAAUAGUUAAAAUAUUAGAUUUAUAUUUCCGUUUCAAUUGAACUUUUUAUUUUAUUUCAAAAUUUCAAUUAUGUUGAUCUGUAAUUUACAUUUGUAUUUAAUAAAUUUGACCAACUUCUUAUAAUUAGGCAGACCGUACGCGUACAGUCCGACCGUAUGCGUAUUUUGAAAAAAAGGUUUGCAUACGGUCAAGACCGUAGGCGUACGGUCCUAAUACUCAUAUGGUCUAGAACAUAUACAUCAUCCACAGUUUAAAAGAAAAAUAAAUAUAACAAUAUUUAAAGAAAUCUAAUUUGUUGUAAAACUUUAGUGAGUUGUGAUGUGAGUAUCUUGCUACUACAUUACGAUUUAUCUAAUGUGUUGUCUAACAAGUAAUUCUUGCGAUAUAAAGACUCAUUAGAAUAACGGCCUCAUAGUUUUGAACCAGUGAAUACACGUAUCAUCAAAUCUAAAUAACAUAUAUGACGGAGAAAAAACUCAAGUUUGGUUACUCUCUUAUUCAACUUUCAACUCUACGCGAUUGUUUAAAAGCAAUGUGUAAAUUACGUUUUAUAUACAUAUACAUGAUAUAUUGUGUUAGUACAGUGGAUUUUUAACACAAAUGGUUUACUUACUGCAAAAGGGAAUUUGUAUUACAUAUUUGCUGAAGCAAUGAUAGUUCAUCUAUUUGAGAAGAAGCUAUAAUCCUAUUUACAUAUUGUUUAGACAAAACAUGUUAUUUAACACACUUAAUAAGCCAAAUGGAUGCCGGAAGUCUUUGCAUAUAAUUACAGAUAUGUGGCGUCAAAAAGAGGACAUAUAUCUACUAAUAAGAUUUGAUUGCCUUUUGAAGCUGUUCCCAAAAAACAACAUCGCCGUACUCAUCAUUUGGAUACUCAAUAUAUGAUUGACAAUGAACCAGUUCCAGUAUUUUAAGUGGAAGAUCGCAAGCAGACAUUUGCUCGUAAAAUACUAGGAAAAGGAUGUUCUCACAAUUGCGUUCAUAGAUACUCUCCAUUUUAGCCAUAUUAUAUUCGAACAUACACCAGUACGAAGCUAAAUAAUUUGCAGACAUUAUGACAAUAGUUUUCCGGCUGUUAUGAAUUGCGGAUGUAAUAUUGGUGGCGAUGUCAUUUCCCGGUAGGAAAUUACGCCUAUGCAAGCACAACUGAAUUCCACCAUUUUUUUCCAGAUUAUUGAGAAGUUUAUGGUGGACAAAUGUGUCAUCCUCAUUUGCAUAUGAGACGAACGCGUCAUACAUGUAUAGUCGUUCAUCUUUGUCGUCUGAACGAGGUUCGGGGUCAUGCCAUUUGACUUUGACCAUGUAGUAAAGAUAGCGUAGUUUCCAUCUAUAUCUGUAAACAAUACCACCACAAAGAAUAAAAAUAAACAUCAAUAUUCCUGUCGUUAAUCCAAUUAUUAAGCCUUCAUAUGACAUACAUUCCUUUUGUAUUGUUUUAAAAACUUCUCUCGGGUUUUGCAGAAGACUGAUGGUGUUUUGUGAUGUUUUACAUUCGUAUUCUUCCCGAUGAUGAAGAAUGGUUGAUGUGUAAAUUAUCCAUUUGACGAAAGACUGAGAAUCACAAUUACAUACAAGAUUAUUUUCAGCAAGGUCAAUAGUAAGAUUUUUACUAAUUUUGGCAAUCGAGUCCAACUCGUUCAUGGCAUAUUGACUCAGUGCAGAUAUUCUAUUAUUCCGUAAAUUUAAAGACGUGAGUUUUUUCAUAUGAGAAAGUUUAAAGUUGAUAUCCUCAAUCAUGUUUUCACUGAGGUCUAAUUUUUCUAAAUUGUGUUGCUUUUGAAAUAACAGAUGUGGUAUAUUCGUUAUUUUAUUUUUAGAAAGAUUUAUGUACAGGACGUUAUGGAGGUUCUGAAAUAUUUCUCCGUUGACAUCCUUUGGUAAAACAAGUCCUAGAAGAUUGUUUUGUAGCAGUAAACAUCUUAAAUUGAUGAAAUCUGAACUAAAAAAUGUCUUUGAAACAUUGGAACAAAAGUUUACUGAAAGGUCCAAAUGUGUUAGUUUUUUUACAUUCGUUAUUGGACCUGUCCAUGUAUGCAAGAUAUUAUCACUCAAAUCUAUAUUUUCUAUUUCAUUUUCAGUGAAACUCAAGUUUGGUAGUUCAAGUUUUACGCUGUUAGACCUCAUCGAAACCUUUAUCAGAUUCCUUGGCAUUGGAAAAACAAACUUACCAGAUCUAUUUUUAAACAGUUCCAAAAUUGGAAGUUCUUUAUAUAACCAAUUAUUUUCAGAAUUGAUGGUAAUAUUUUCUUCUUUAAUCGGACAUUUUUCUACAUAAGAUGAGAUCAUAUCAAAAGGAGAAGUAUUGUCAGACAUUUCCAGUGAUACAAUUGGCAUAUUUGUGAGAUCAAGGAAAUAUUUGCCUGCAGAUAAAACGUUUUUCGUUAUGUCUACACUUUUGAGUGUUUCAGGUAAAUAUUUAAUUGCUCCGGAUUCUAUUGUCUGGAUACGGUUCCCGGCGCCUUCCAGUCUAACAAUUGACGUAUUCUGUAAAUUCCAAAUGUGAGAAGUUUUCAGGACUGUAGUCUUUUCCAAAAUACCAUGAAUAUAGUUAAAUUUCAAGAUUUCAAUUGCUGAAUGCUGCAAAUCGGUGGUAAUAUUUUCAAGCGCGUCGAAUCGUAAACAUGUGUUUAGAGAAACGUCAAUUUCCAAUAUAUUUCUCAAUAACUUAAACGUUCCUUUGAAAAGAUAUUGUAUUUUGCAUUGGGAUAAGUUCAAAUGAGUUAUUUGAGGCAAGAACAAGAAUGUUUUCUCUGUUAGUAUAGUCAACUUGCAAUUACCAGUUAAGCCAGAUAGAUCUAUUUUUUUAAGGUUUUUAAAAUAGCUGAAUUUCUCAUCGAGAAUUGCAAUUUUGUCUGCAAUAUAAUCUAUUGACAGCGAUUCUAGUGAUCGUAGUUUCCACAAAUCUGGCACGAAUGAUGUACGGACAUUUCUUUUCAAAUUCAAGUGUUUUAAGUUCUCCAGGAAAUGAAAGGCUGAAUAUUUAAACGACCAGUUUUCAAAUUUCAAAUCAUUGUUGCUAAGAUUUAAAGAGAGUAAAUUUGAGAGUCCUUUGAACGAGUUUUGUCGUACUUGACUAAUCUUAUUGAAAGACAAAUCCAAAGUCGUCAUUAAAGAGUUGCCUACGAAAAUCCCAUCUUGUAUCAUACUGAUAUUAUUAUUUCGGAGAGAUAACUCUUGAAUAUUGCUUGGAAACACAGGUAUACGAAGUAGAUCUUUGCCUGAACAAUCUGCUAUAAGAUUUCGUGAACCAGGAACGUCUUUGUAUAGACAGCAACUGGCAAAUUGACAUGCUUUCCAUUCUUUAAUAUCAUGGAGGAUUGCAUAUUUGCAACUACUUAGUAAAACAAAAGAAGUAACUAACAUGUAAGGAUGGUUGAUGUUCCCUGCAGAGAUAAUAAAUAUGCAGUUUAUAUGCAGUCAAUUUCAAG